GCGGCAAUAGCUCAGUUGGUAGAGCACGACCUUGCCAAGGUCUGUGUCGCGAGUUCGAGUCUCGUUUCCCGCUUCA
RNAcentral lists this transfer RNA (76 nucleotides) under Salmonella enterica subsp. enterica serovar Typhimurium. RNAcentral describes it as "tRNA-Gly". It matches the Rfam family "tRNA". From Rfam's summary of the family: Transfer RNA (tRNA) molecules are approximately 80 nucleotides in length. Their secondary structure includes four short double-helical elements and three loops (D, anti-codon, and T loops). Further hydrogen bonds mediate the characteristic L-shaped molecular structure. tRNAs have two regions of fundamental functional importance: the anti-codon, which is responsible for specific mRNA codon recognition, and the 3' end, to which the tRNAs corresponding amino acid is attached (by aminoacyl-tRNA synthetases). tRNAs cope with the degeneracy of the genetic code in two manners: having more than one tRNA (with a specific anti-codon) for a particular amino acid; and 'wobble' base-pairing, i.e. permitting non-standard base-pairing at the 3rd anti-codon position. Lineage: Bacteria; Pseudomonadati; Pseudomonadota; Gammaproteobacteria; Enterobacterales; Enterobacteriaceae. The record is from RNAcentral.